This 253-nucleotide ribosomal RNA is filed under the name uncultured bacterium. Its description in RNAcentral is "partial 16S ribosomal RNA". It matches the Rfam family "Bacterial small subunit ribosomal RNA", at positions 524 to 776 of the family's 1533-position model. The record is from RNAcentral.
UACGAAGGGGGCUAGCGUUGCUCGGAAUCACUGGGGGUAAAGGGGGCGUAGGCGGGUCUUUAAGGGAGGGGGGAAAUCCUGGAGCUCAACUCCAGAACUGCCUUUGAUACUGAGGAUCUUGAGUCCGGGAGAGGUGAGUGGAACUGCGAGUGUAGAGGUGAAAUUCGUAGAUAUUCGCAAGAACACCAGUGGCGAAGGCGGCUCACUGGCCCGGUACUGACGCUGAGGCACGAAAGCGUGGGGAGCAAACAGG